This 12146-nucleotide long non-coding RNA is filed under the name Gossypium barbadense (sea-island cotton). Its description in RNAcentral is "long non-coding RNA (GBAR_LNC008737)". Lineage: Eukaryota; Viridiplantae; Streptophyta; Magnoliopsida; Malvales; Malvaceae. The record is from RNAcentral.
UAAAAUAAAACAAAUUCGACAUUUCAUGGCAAAAUUUGAAAACAAACCGCAAUGAUUUUGAACUGAUGGGAUAAAAUGAAGGAUUAAAACGCAAAUAACCCAUCAGUGUUUAAAACCCUUUUCAUCUCCAAUUAAAAGCCUACUCUGCAGCAGCAAUAGACGCAAAGUUGCUUCAUCUUCCUUUUUUCUUUUUUUGUUUUAAAACAACAGAGGGAAGAAAGAGGGAUCUGCUAGGCCUUCUUUAAAGCCCUAACUACCGCCACGCCACCGCCUUUCAAGCUUCGCCGCCGACUCCGAUUCAGGUAAGUUUCGCCCUUUCCUUUUUUGCCUUUUCUUUUGCACCAAAAACAGAGAAGCAAAGAGAAAAAAAAUAAAAUAAAUAAAACACAAAGAAAAUUACCUUCAAAAAUUGUUUUUGAUUAUUUGUUUGUAUUUCAGUAUUUUUCCAAUACAAUAUUUUUCUCUUUUUAGUACCCAAUCCCCCUUUUCUUUGUGAUCGAUUUUGGCUUUUUAAAACCGAUCUAUAAAACAUUCAUUUCCUAUUUUUUGUUUUCGUUCUUUUGUUUAUUCUUUUCCCCAUUCCUCGCAUGCUUCCUUUUGCUGUUGUUUUUGUCUCUGUUGCAGGUGUGUCCGGUGUGGGUGGUGCACGUGAUGGCCAAGGGCAGAGGUAGCAUGGGGCGACUGAUCAGAGGCGUGCAUGCGUGAGGGGAGGUGAAGCGGCGGCAGCUACAAAGCAUGAGGCUAGGGUUUUUUUGUUUGGUUGAAAACUAGUAUAGUUUGGGCCAUUCGGGCCUCUAAGGUUUUUAUCAUUAUUAGGCAUUUGGAUUGGGUUUGUUUUUUGGGUUAAUUUUGUUGUAAUGGUCUGUUAAUUUUUAUUAGUCUUGGUCCAUUUGGGUUUUAUGGUCUGGGCCUGGGCAAAAAUGGGCUUUUACAGCUGCCCCUCUUUGCUCAUUUUCGUGUAACGAGAAUAGAGCAAAGACAUCAAAAGGGCCAAUUUUGCCCGGCCUUGCCGAGUCUUGACUUUUUGGUGCUCAUCUUUUUUAAGUAGCCUUAUUCCAGCCUGCUACGUCUUGUUGCUUCGAUCCACUCUACUGCAACUUCAGAUACGCCUUGUAGCUUCAAUCUACUCUGCUACGACUCCAUGGGGAUGAGAUUUGUGUUUUUAGUGUGCUCCACUACUAUUUAGGGAGAUAAGACUGGAUGUGAUCUGCUCCACUACUACUUAGGGAGAUAAGACUGUAAUCUUCAAUCUAUUCCACUGCCAAAUACAGGGAGAUAGAGUUAUCAGCUUCAAUGUACUCCACUGUAGUUACAGGAAGGUAAAAUCUGCCAUCUUCGAUCUACUCCACCACUAGUAUGGGAAGACAAGAUCUGUAUCUUGGAUCCACUUCCUAUCAAUAUAGGAAGAUAGGACCUGCUAUCUUCGAUCUACUUCACGCCAAUACAUGAAGACAAGAUCUGCUUUCUGCGAUCUACUUCGCCACCAAUAUGGGAAGACAAGAUCUGCAUCUUCGACCCACUUCCUAUCAAUAUAGGAAGAUAGGACCUGCUAUCUUCGAUCUACCUCACGCCAAUACAUGAAGACAAGAUCUGCUUUCUGCGAUCUACUUCGCCACCAAUAUGGGAAGACAAGAUCUGCAUCUUGGAUCCACUUCCUAUCAAUAUAAGAAGAUAGGACCUGCUAUCUUCGAUCUACUUCACGCCAAUACAUGAAGACAAGAUCUGCUUUCUGCGAUCUACUUCGCCACCAAUAUGGGAAGACAAGAUCUGCGUCGUCGAUCCACUUCCAAUCAUUAUAGAAAGAUAGGACCUGUUAUCUUUGAUCUACUUCACGCCAAUACAUGAAGACAAGAUCUACUUUCUGCGAUCUACUUCGCCACCAAUAUGGGAAAACAAGAUCUGCAUCUUGGAUCCACUUCCUAUCAAUAUAGAAAGAUAGGACCUGCUACCUUCGAUCUACUUCACGCCAAUACAUGAAGACAAGAUUUGCUUUCUUCGAUCUACUUCGCCACCAAUAUGGGAAGACAAGAUCUGCAUCUUCGAUCCACUUCCUACCAAUAUAGGAAGAUAGGACCUGCUACUUUCGAUCUACUUCACGCCAAUACAUGAAGACAAGAUCUGCUUUCUUCGAUCUACUUCGCCACCAAUAUGGGAAGACAAGAUCUGCAUCUUCGAUCUACUUCGCCACCAAUAUGGGAAGACAAGAUCUGCAUCUUCGAUCCAUUUCCUACCAAUAUAGGAAAACCGGAUCAGCUAUCUUCGACCUACUUCACGCCAAUACAUGAAGACAAGAUCUGCUUUCUUCGAUCUACUUCGCCACCAAUAUGGGAAGACAAGAUCUGCAUCUUCGAUCUACUUCGCCACCAAUAUGGGAAGACAAUAUCUGCAUCUUCGAUCCACUUCCUACCAAUAUAGGAAAACCGGAUCAGCUAUCUUCGACCUACUUCACGUCAAUACAUGAAGACAAGAUCUACUUUCUUCGAUCUACUUCUUGUCCCGGGAGAUAGAACUAUCAGCUUCAAUGUACUCCACUGUGGUCAGGGAGGUAAAAUCUGCCAUCUUUUGAUCUGCUUCGCUGCCAAAUACAGGAAGGCAAGAUCUGCAAUCUUCAAUCUAUUCCACUGCCAAAUACAGGGAGAUAGAGUUAUCGGCUUCAAUGUACUCCACUGUAGUCACAUGGAGGUAAAAUCUGCCAUAUUUGAUCUUCAAUCUAUUCCACUGCCAAAUGCAGGGAGAUAGAGUUAUCGGCUUCAAUAUACUCCACUGUAAUCAGGGAGGUAAAAUCUGCCAUCUUUGAUCUGCUUCGCUGUCAAAUUCAGGAAGGCAAGAUCUGCAAUCUUCAAUCUGCUCUGCUACAAACGAGAGAGGCAAGGUUUGUCUUUGAUUUUUACUGAUCUGUUCUCUAGGGAACAUGACCUGUAUAAUGAACCUAAUUAUGCCUAAUGAUUAGGAUGGCAUGAUCAGAAUGGAUCAAAUGUUCCUAACUAGAUGUGCGUGAAUGACAUUUGAAUGAAUGCAGAAUGUCAUGAAAAUGAUUCCUUAAUGCUUAGGUUGUCAUUCCUCAUUGUUCAUCAAGGUUCUAUCACUGAUGCCUUCUUGUUCAGCCAGUACCUUUGAUAGAAAACCUAAAGAAAUAGACGCUAUUUAGACUAUCAUUUCUCAAAUGUUUCCAACCCUUAGGUUUGGUUAGUUCUAAACAAUAGUCUUGUUUCAGGUCCUCGUAUUAUUUAGAAACUUUCAGAGUAAUAUGCAGAACUCCUUCUGCCUGUGUAUUGUCAGUCCAUUAAUCGUUAUUUCAAUGAAAAAUGCUUGAAAAAGAUUAUCAAAAUGGACAAAAUGAAAUUUUGUUGAGAGCAAAGCUCUUAAACAAACAAAUCAAUCAAGAUAGCAAAUUUUGCUGAGAUACGAGAUGAAUAAGAUGAAAAAGAUUAUCACAAUGGAUAAGACGAAAAUUUGUUGAGAGCAAAGCUCUAAAUGAACAAAUUAAUCAAGAUAGCAAAUUUUGCUAAAGUACAGAACGAGGAUAAAUUAAUCAAGAUGAUGUAUUUUGUCAAAAAUACAAAAAAUGAAUAAAAUGGAAAUAGGUGCCCCAGAUAUCGUAGCAUGAGCUUCUCUGCCCCAAACUUCUUAAGGACCCUUUUGAACUUGAUAUGUGUUUAGAAGUCCUAGAAGGCUUUGUUGAUGCCCCAUCUUUGAUCGAAAACUACUUUAUGCCUCAUCUUUGAUCGAAAAUUUGAAUUGCCCAUUCCUGGGUUUUCAAUUCAAAACCCCUUUGGUCUCAAGGUGCCCUUUGCGGGUUUUCGCCUUGGCCUCUCCUUUUUUUUUUUAGGCAAAGUACCUCUUCACUGAAUCCGAAUUCACAGGAUUGGGCAAGCUUUUGCCAUCCAUCCCAGUUAAAAUUAAUGCCCCUCCUGAAAAGGCCUUUUUUACUACAUAAGGUCCCUCCCAGUUUGGCAUCCACUUUCCUCUGAAGUCUUUUUGUAUGGGAAGGAUCUUCUUCAGUACCAAAUCCCCUUCAUGGAAGUUUCUAGGACGAACUUUCUUAUUGUAAGCUCGCAUCAUUUGUUUCUGGUACAUUUGACCAUGACGGAUAGCUCUUAACCUCCUUUCUUCAAUCAAGUUCAGCUGAUCAUAUCGGGAUUGGACCCAUUCUGCUUCGUCUAACUUUAGUUCUGAAAAAACUCGGAGGGAGGGAAUUUUAACCUCAAUUGGUAGCACUGCCUCCAUUCCAUAAACCAAAGAGAAUGGUGUUGCCCCGGUAGAAGUCCUGACGGACGUUCGAUAAGCAUAGAGGGCGAAUGGCAACUUCUCGUGCCAAUCUCUAUAGGUCUCAGUCAUUUUCUCCACAAUCCUUUUGAUAUUUUUAUUGGCUGCCUCCACCGCACCAUUCAUCUUUGGACGGUAUGGUGAUGAGUUGUGGUGCUUGAUAUUGAAUUGACUACAAACCUCUACUAUCGUGCUAUUAUUCAAAUUUAAUGCGUUGUCAGAUAUAAUCCUUUCGGGCAUUCCAUACCGACAUAUGAUUUCCUUUUUUAAAAACCUGCUGACAGCUGCCUUUGUGACGUUCGCGUAAGAAGUAGCCUCUACCCACUUAGUAAAGUAGUCAAUCACUACAAAAAUGAAACGAUGUCCGUUUGAAGCCUUUGGCGAUAUCAGCCCAAUGACGUCCAUGCCCCACAUGGAGAAAGGCCAUGGGGAAGUCAUGACGUGAAGAGGUGAUGGAGGCACAUGGAUUUUGUCUCCGUAAAUCUGGCAUUUAUGGCACUUCUUAGCAUAUUUGAUGCAGUCUCCUUCCAUGGUAGACCAAUAAUAUCCAAAUCUCAUGAUUUGUCUGGCCAUUGUGAAACCGUUAGCGUGUGUUCCACAAAUACCAUCAUGGACUUCUUCCAAGAUCUGUUUGGCCUCCACAGCGUCCACACAUCUUAACAGCACCUGAUCUUUUCCUCCUUUGUACAGGAUCUCUCCAUCUAAGACGUAAUCACUGGCCAGCCUCCUCAACAUUCUCUUGUCAUUCUCAGUUGCUUGGUUUGGGUAUUCACGAUUUUUCACGUAUCGCAAUAUGUCCUGGUACCAAGGGUUGUCGUCCUUUUCUUCUUCCUUGUCAAUGUUACAACAGUGGGCUGGAGCAUCAUAAAUGCUCAUUUGGAUAGGUUUCACAUCCUCUGGUCUAUUUACUUUGAUCAUGGAAGCUAAUGUAGCUAAAGCGUCAGCCAUCUGAUUCUCGUCUCGUGGGAGGUAACAAAAAGUGAUGUCGUCAAACUCCUCAAUCAAUUCUAGGACUAUCAUUCGGAAACUAAUCAACUUAGGGUCUCUUGUUUCCCAUUCGCCUUUGAGCUGAUAAAUUACCAAUGCCGAAUCCCCACAUACCUCAAGUACCUUGAUUUUGCGUUCCAUAGCCGCACGGAUUCCCAUUAUACAUGCUUCAUAUUUCGCCAUGUUAUUUGCGUAAUCAAAAUCUAGUUUACUGGUGAAAGGAUAAUGAUCACCGUUUGGAGAUACCAAGACUGCCCCAAUCCCGUUGCCCAUGGCAUUUGAGGCUCCGUCAAAAUUUAAUUUCCAAGUAUUGCCUUCUUGUGUGCUUGCUUCAGUAGUUGCCACAUACAUCAGAUCCUCAUUUGGGAAAUCAAAGUUCAAAGGCUCAUAAUCGUCCAGGGUUCUACUUGCUAGAAAAUCUGCUAUCGCGCUCCCUUUUACAGCCUUUUGAUUCACAUAGGUUAUGUCAAAUUCAGAUAGUAGAAUUUGCCAUCGGGCCAUCCUUCCGUUUAGAGCAGUUGACUCCAUCAUGUAUUUCAGAAGGUCUAACUUUGAGAUUAACCAAGUCGUAUGGUACAACAUGUAUUGUUUCAAUCUCCGAGUAGUCCAAACCAAUGCGCAACAUAAUUUUUCAAUUGGCGAAUAUCUCGUUUCGUAUUCAGUGAACUUCUUACUGAGAUAAUAGAUCGCUCUUUCCUUUCGUCCUGACUCAUCAUGUUGGCCGAGCACGCACCCCAUAGAAUUCUCAAAUACUGCCAAGUAUAGUAUCAGUGGCUUGUCAGGGCAAGGUGGCAUCAGUACUGGGGCGUUGGACAAGUAAUGUUUAACUCUUUCGAAAGUUUUCUGGCACUCUUUAUCCCAUACACCUGGAUUGUGUUUCCUACGAAGACGGAAUAUGGGGUCACAUUUCUUAGUUAAUUGUGAAAUGAAUCGAGCGAUGUAAUUUAGUCUUCCUAGGAAACCCCGAACUUCUUUUUGAGUACUUGGCGGAGAUAAUUCUUGUAUGGCCUUAACUUUGUCUGGGUCAAUUUCAAUUCCUUUUUCGCUGACUAAGAAUCCUAGCAAUUUUCCUGAUCUAGCCCCGAAAGUACACUUGGCUGGGUUAAGUUUUAGCUGGAACUUCCUUAACCUUAGAAACAGUUUUCUCAGAACUUGCACGUGUUCCCCUUCUGUUCUGGAUUUUGCGAUCAUAUCAUCAACAUAAACUUCUAUCUCUUUAUGCAUCAUAUCAUGGAAUAAUGCUACCAUGGCUCUCUGAUACGUUGCUCCCGCAUUUUUCAAUCCAAAAGGCAUCACUUUAUAACAAAACGUCCCCCACAUCGUUAUGAAUGUGGUAUUCUCCCUGUCUUCAGAAAGCAUCUUAAUUUGGUUGUACCCGGAGAAACCAUCCAUGAAAGAGAACAGUGAGUAUCCGGCCGUGUUGUCUACCAAGGUAUCGAUAUGAGGCAGUGGGAAAUUAUCUUUUGGGCUGGCUUUGUUCAAGUCUCUGUAGUCCACACACAUUCGCACCUUCCCAUCUUUCUUAGGAACAGAGACUAUAUUGGCUACCCAUUCUGAGUACUUGACCACCUGUAAGAAACCAGCAUCAAAUUGCUUCUUAACUUCUUCCUUUAUUUUUAGCAAGACAUCAGGCCUCAUCCUUCGGAGCUUUUGUUGGACUGGUUUGCAUUCUUCUUUUAUAGGCAAUCGGUGUACCACGAUAUCAGUACUUAACCCUGGCAUAUCUUGGUAGGACCACGCGAAGACAUCUUUAAACUCUUGAAGCAACUCAACAAGGUCUUGCCUUGUUUCCUUGGCAAUGCAAGCGCCAAUUUUUACCUCUCUGCCCUCUUCUAAGAUCACAACUUCUACUGAUUCCUUAUAGGGUAGAAUUUGUUUUUCUUCUUCUUCCAUCAUUCUUAACAAAUCCGGAGAUAAAACGCUGUCUUGGUCACCUUCAAAAUCUUGAGGAUCAUCUAUACUCAUGUCUUGCUCAAAUAGGGACUCUGAAUUAGUAACAGAGUCACUCAUCUCGUUGAUAUCUGAAGACCUGUUAUUGGAACAAAUGGAGGCCCAAAUAAAAGGAUCUAAGAAUACUUGUAUGCAUAUUAUGAUUAUAAAGGGAAUGAAAAGAAUGAAAGAAUAUUUGCUCAAGAUGAAACUGAAUGAUAAGUUUUCACUGAAAUUAGAUUUUGGACAUGUGCCUUUUACAAAAGAUUCUUAUCACCCCCAGGCUUAGGGCAACACGUGUUCUGAAUAUUACUCUAGAUUAGCUCUAAAAAUACAGGGAUCUCUUCCACAGUCCCAUUGUUCAAAACACUCCUAAAUAUGCAAAAGUUUGGAGACUUUUAUUCCUCAGUUCCCUUUUCGGAUAUAUCAUUGAAAUUCCUCGAUAUUCCUUUCAGGCUUUUGACUUGUUCAAGGCAUUACAACUCUUUGCUCAUUAUCGUGUAACGUAAAGAUGCCUAGUCAUUUGACUUUUGUCGGUUUCCAAGUUAACUGGGAUAAUUUUACCUAAUUAGGGUCCUUUUAGGGAAAGUCUAAUGCAAAAUAAAGCAAUGCAAUGCAAAUGCAUGAAAUGAAUGCAAAAGAAAGGAAGGCGUUGAUUCUAAAUUUAAUUCUAUUAGAAUAAUUUUUCUAAAAAAUAGAUUUUUUUACAUGAAAAUAGUUUACAUAUGUGGUAUUGCCCUUCAUAGUCCAAGUAAACGCUGAUAUUUUCUUCAUGGUUAAACCCUGUAAAUUCUCCAAAAGAUGCAUUUGCUAGCUCCUUACUGCUUAAUCUGAGCCUCGAUCUCUUGCUCGCUUAUCUUCAAGAUACUCAUCAAAAAGUGCCAGCUCUUGGAUAAUCUUCGUUGGCAAUUAAAUCAAGUCAUGUAUUCCUUCGUGGACUUCCGGCUUUCUCUCGUCAUGCCUUCGUUGGCUUGAAUCUCUAGAAAUUACAUUAUGUAUUCCUCCGUGAACUACCAGCUUUCUCUCAUCGUGUUUACUCAGACUAUAUUCAGACGACCGCACUAUAAUCCACUUUAUCAAGAAAUUCGCUUCCUUAUGACAAACUAUUCUAUUUAGGAAUCGAAUUUCGAAUCAACACAUUCUUUUCUUUGAUGUAAUGCAAAUACAUGAAUGCAAAAAAAAAGGAAGACAUUGAUUCUGAAUUUAAUUUCAUUGGAACAACUUUUCUAGAAAACAAAUUCCUUUACAUAAAACGGACUACAUACACGGUCUUUCUCUCAUAUUCCAAGUGAAGACACCUUUCUUCCUCUUCAUAUCUGGAUCUUAUGGUCGAGUCUGACGAAUUCUCCAAGAGAUGUCUAUAUUAACUCCUUUUUUGCUUGAUCCAGGCUGCGACUCGUUGCUCACUUAUUUCUAUGAUACUUUUCAGCUCUUUUAAGAAAGUCAAGACAUGACAGCUCUCGAAUAAUCUUUGUUAGUUUCUGUCUUUAGGCAAUGAAGCAAAGUCUUGUAUUUCUUCACGGACUAUCAGCCUUCUUUCAUGUAUUCACUUGGACCAUAUUUAGACAACCGUGUUAUAAUCCACUUUAUCAAAAAAAAUUGUUUUCUUAUGACAAACUGUUCUAUUUAGCAAUCAAAUAUGAAUCAACACCUCCUUCCUAGGAUGAUGUAAUACAAUGCAAUUAUAAACAAAAAAAACAAAACACGUUAGUGCAGAAUAAAUAACAAAUAAAGCAAUUCGGGUGACCACUAGGGGUUUGGAGUGGCUCUACGUAGGGUAGGCUCCUAGGUCUCUCUAUAUGUGGUUUGGUUCUUGAGUAAGGGUACCUGAACCAACAGAUUCCUCGAUCCUCACCCAUUAUAGGCUCAUAUGGACCGAGUUCAGUUCAGGGGAAUACAUUUCCCUAUGGCCAUGCGGAGAUGAAAAUCUCACGAAGACAUAGGUACGGAUGUAUCCCGGAAGCGAUUCACUAUCCCAUGCGGAGGUGAAAACCUCACGAAGGCGUAGUUUCUCACUCCCACUAAAAAGGGUAUGACCAGCGGUCAUGCAAUGUAAUGUGCGAAGGUAUAAAAUAAAAUACAGAACACGAUAAAAAAUAUAACUCAGAACAAAAGAGAUGCAAUGAGAGGAUCGUAAAUUUAAAUCGAAUUUUCAACUUUCGACAAAAGACAAGAAAUAAUCAACACGUGGCUUGACUCUCUUAUUGUCCCCAGUGGAGUCGCCAAGCUGUUGACACCAUUUUUUUGUUAAAAAACGGGGUCGACUUGGAUUUUGAAAAAAAGAAUGAAAACGGGAGUCGCCACCAAUCCUUUUUUGAUGAGGUGUGAUCAGGUCACCUCAAAAAGUGGUUGUUUUUAAUAAAUGAUUUAAUUUUAUUAAAACAACGAUUUUGGUCUACGAAAUUUAGAAAAAUGAGUUCGGGAAUCGGUUACGCACGAGGAAGGAUUAGCACCCUCGACACGCCCAAAAUUGGUACCUUAGUUGAUUACAUAAUGUCUUAAUGUCGAAAAUUGAGAAUUUUGAAAAUUUUUAAAAAUUUUUACGAUCCUUAUAUUAAAACAUAAAAAAAAAUUCAGGAAAAGGGACAUAUUUCACGUUAUCUGAGAAAAAAAGAAUCAUAUCCAGUAAGUUAGGACACAAUGUCUCGAAUUCCCGAUAUCGUUUAAAACUCGAAUUUGAAAAGAUUCAUGUAAUAAAGUUUAAAAGAAUAUUCAAUUGUUUAAAUCAAAUAAAGAAAUCGCAACCCAAUACGUUAGGGCACAAUUUCUCAAAAUAUUAAACAUUGAAUAUUGCAUUUAUUUCGAAAAAUCCUUGUCUCGAGAAAGCAACGUGUCACAUCCAAUGCGUUAGGACACAACAUAUUAAAUUCUUGAUAACGAGCUUUUUAUCAUUUUUUUAAAGAGUAAUCUCGAUUAUUUAAAUUCAACGAAGAAAGUCGGAACCCAAUGCAUUAGGGCUCGAUUCUCUCGAAGAUCUAAAUAUCGAAUAUUACUUUUAUUUUAAAAUUUCAUUUUUGGCCAAUCCGAUUGAAAAGAUACGAUGUGACAACAAUGAUGAUAAUGUAAGUAAAAUAACACGAGCAAAACAUAAGAUAAAUAAAUAAUAAAACGAAGAAAACAAUCAAAAAGGCACAAUAACAAAUAAUAAACAAAUAAAAACUAAAACAUGAAUAACAAGCAUUUAAACAAAUAAAUAAAUGAACAAAAUGAUCCAAAAAAAAAUUAUGAAAAGUUAAAAGACAUAUAUAUAUGUACAAAAUUAUGAAAAUAUAAAAAAAAAACAUAUGUGUGUACACAUGAAUUAUAAACCAUAGAAAUAUCAUAAGAAAAUAUAAAUUUUUAAAAUAUAAGAGUAUGUAUAAAUACAUAUAUGCAUAUUUAUGAAAAAUAAAAGAGAUACAUGUAAGUACGUAUAUACAUAAAAAAUUUAAAAUGCAAAUAUAAAUAUAUUCAUGUAUAUAAGAAUAAUAAUAAAAGGCGUAUAUAUAUGCAUGUGAAUAUUAAGUAUGUACAUAUGAAUGUAUAUAAUAUAUAUAUAAACUAUAUAUAUAAAAAAAAUAUGGUAAUGAAAUAUAUACGCACUAUAUAUAUUUAAAACAUUUAGAAAUAAAAAUAUACACAUACAUUAUAAAGUACACAUGCGUGUAUGUAUGUAAGUAUAAUAAAAAAAUAAUAAUAGUAAUAAUAAUAAUAAUAAUAAUAACUAUAUUAAUAAAAUAAACUAAAAACUUAAAAUGAAAGAUUAUGGAUUAAAUUGAAAAUAAUUGAAGUUUCAGGGGCAAAUCUGAAACAAACAAAACACCAAUGAAUCGAAUGGAACAUGCAGUUAACAGUGGAGGACCGAAAGUCAAAUUAAUCCCUCCGUCCAAAACUCCACGCAGCAAUGGAUUAAAAUAAAACAAAUUCGACAUUUCAUGGCAAAAUUUGAAAACAAACCGCAAUGAUUUUGAACUGAUGGGAUAAAAUGAAGGAUUAAAACGCAAAUAACCCAUCAGUGUUUAAAACCCUUUUCAUCUCCAAUUAAAAGCCUACUCUGCAGCAGCAAUAGACGCAAAGUUGCUUCAUCUUCCUUUUUUCUUUUUUUGUUUUAAAACAACAGAGGGAAGAAAGAGGGAUCUGCUAGGCCUUCUUUAAAGCCCUAACUACCGCCACGCCACCGCCUUUCAAGCUUCGCCGCCGAUUCCGAUUCAGGUAAGUUUCGCCCUUUCCUUUUUUGCCUUUUCUUUUGCACCAAAAACAGAGAAGCAAAGAGAAAAAAAAAUAAAAUAAAUAAAACACAAAGAAAAUUACCUUCAAAAAUUGUUUUUGAUUCUUUGUUUGUAUUUCAGUAUUUUUCCAAUACAAUAUUUUUCUCUUUUUAGUACCCAAUCCCCCUUUUCUUUGUGAUCGAUUUUGGCUUUUUAAAACCGAUCUAUAAAACAUUCAUUUCCUAUUUUUUGUUUUCGUUCUUUUGUUUAUUCUUUUCCCCAUUCCUCGCAUGCUUCCUUUUGCUGUUGUUUUUGUCUCUGUUGCAGGUGUGUCCGGUGGGGGUGGUGCACGUGAUGGCCAAGGGCAGAGGUAGCAUGGGGCGACUGAUCAGAGGCGUGCAUGCGUGAGGGGAGGUGAAGCGGCGGCAGCUACAAAGCAUGAGGCUAGGGUUUUUUUGUUUGGUUGAAAACUAGUAUAGUUUGGGCCAUUCGGGCCUCUAAGGUUUUUAUCAUUAUUGGGCAUUUGGAUUGGGUCUGUUUUUUGGGUUAAUUUUGUUGUAAUGGUCUGUUAAUUUUUAUUAGUCUUGGUCCAUUUGGGUUUUAUGGUCUGGGCCCGGGCAAAAAUGGGCUUUUACACUAAAUAAUAAAAAAUGUUAUUUUGAAAACUUACAUUAAUCCUGAAAAUGUAAGAUUACUUAAACCCAACAGUAGCAUAAACUAAUACUGAUUGCAAUUCCGUUUACUCUUUGUUUGAUGGUUCUCCUAAGGCCUGUAGAA